UACGGAGGGGGCAAGCGUUGUUCGGAUUUACUGGGCGUAAAGGGCGCGUAGGCGGCGCAACAAGUCACUUGUGAAUCUCCGGGCUUAACUCGGAACUGCCCAAGUGAUACUGUAGUGCUAGAGUGCAGAAGGGGCAAUCGGAAUUCUUGGUGUAGCGGUGAAAUGCGUAGAGAUCGGGAGGAACACCGGCGGCGAAGGCGGCUGCCUGGACCGUCCUGACGCUGAGGAGCGAAAGCGUGGGGAGCAACAGG
This 251-nucleotide ribosomal RNA is filed under the name uncultured bacterium. Its description in RNAcentral is "partial 16S ribosomal RNA". It matches the Rfam family "Bacterial small subunit ribosomal RNA", at positions 524 to 775 of the family's 1533-position model. The record is from RNAcentral.